This 386-nucleotide long non-coding RNA is filed under the name Vulpes vulpes (red fox). RNAcentral's name for it is "lncRNA (ENSVVUG00000020045.1)". Lineage: Eukaryota; Metazoa; Chordata; Mammalia; Carnivora; Canidae. The record is from RNAcentral.
UUUCUUGGGACCUAACAUGCAGAUAUAGAUUAGUUUCAUUGGUCUUAUUUUUCAGAUCCAAAGUGAGAUCAAAAGUCUUAACUAAGAUCACCCAGCAAUUGAAGAGCUAUGGUGGGAAGGAAAAUUCAUAGCUACCAAAUCCCAGGAACAUUGAAUAUGAGAAAAUAGAAGACCACCACCUCAUCAUCCUCAGCUUCAGCUGAAAAUAAGGAAGAUAUGAAUCACUUUGUUCCUAAAAUGCAUCAGGAAGCCACUGUGCUAUUUUCUUAAGAAACCACUACUACCCCAUCGCCACGGGGAGGUCAACAACCUACUCUUACAAAACUGAAAGUAUGACACCAUUCCUUGUGCUUUUACCACAUUCUGCCUCUUUAUUAAACUUUAAU